AUUGAACGCUGGCGGCAUGCCUUACACAUGCAAGUCGAACGGUAACGGGUCCUUCGGGAUGCCGACGAGUGGCGAACGGGUGAGUAAUAUAUCGGAACGUGCCCAGUAGUGGGGGAUAACUGCUCGAAAGAGCAGCUAAUACCGCAUACGACCUGAGGGUGAAAGGGGGGGAUCGCAAGACCUGUCGCUAUUGGAGCGGCCGAUAUCAGAUUAGCUAGUUGGUGGGGUAAAGGCCUACCAAGGCAACGAUCUGUAGUUGGUCUGAGAGGACGACCAGCCACACUGGGACUGAGACACGGCCCAGACUCCUACGGGAGGCAGCAGUGGGGAAUUUUGGACAAUGGGCGCAAGCCUGACCCAGCAAUGCCGCGUGCAGGAAGAAGGCCUUCGGGUUGUAAACUGCUUUUGUCAGGGAAGAAAUCUUCUGGGCUAAUACCCCGGGAGGAUGACGGUACCUGAAGAAUAAGCACCGGCUAACUACGUGCCAGCCGCCGCGGUAA
Molecule: ribosomal RNA, 500 nt
Filed under: uncultured bacterium
Lineage: Bacteria
Description: partial 16S ribosomal RNA
Rfam family: Bacterial small subunit ribosomal RNA
Source: RNAcentral